AUUGAACGCUGGCGGCAGGCCUAACACAUGCAAGUCGAACGAGUGGCGGACGGGUGAGUAAUCUCUGGGAAACUCCCUUAUGGAGGGGUAUAACCACUGGAAACUGUAGCUAAUACCGUAUACCAUCAGAUGUGCCCAGAUGGUAUUAGCUUGUUGGGGGGGUAACGGCUCACCAAGGCGACGAUCCCUAGCUGGUCUGAGAGGAUGACCAGCCACACUGGAACUGAGACACGGUCCAGACUCCUACGGGAGGCAGCAGUGGGGAAUAUUGCACAAUGGGCGCAAGCCUGAUGCAGCCAUGCCGCGUGUAUGAAGAAGGCCUUCGGGUUGUAAAGUACUUUCAGCGAGGAGGCGUUACCCGCAGAAGAAGCACCGGCUAACUCCGUGCCAGCAGCCGCGGUAAUUC
This 406-nucleotide ribosomal RNA is filed under the name uncultured bacterium. Its description in RNAcentral is "partial 16S ribosomal RNA". It matches the Rfam family "Bacterial small subunit ribosomal RNA", at positions 30 to 526 of the family's 1533-position model. The record is from RNAcentral.